RNAcentral lists this small nucleolar RNA (78 nucleotides) under Sorex araneus (European shrew). RNAcentral's name for it is "Small nucleolar RNA SNORD70 (ENSSARG00000018495.1)". The record is from RNAcentral. Lineage: Eukaryota; Metazoa; Chordata; Mammalia; Eulipotyphla; Soricidae.
UCCUAUGUUGAUUCUAACACCCAGAAUCUCAGGAUGUAACCAGAUUUAGAUAGUCACUACCACUGAGACAACAAUGAA